AUUGAACGCUGGCGGAAUGCUUUACACAUGCAAGUCGAACGGCAGCACGGACUUCGGUCUGGUGGCGAGUGGCGAACGGGUGAGUAAUGUAUCGGAACGUGCCCAGUCGUGGGGGAUAACGUAGUGAAAAUUACGCUAAUACCGCAUACGAUCUAUGGAUGAAAGCGGGGGAUCGCAAGACCACGCGCGAUUGGAGCGGCCGAUAUCAGAUUAGGUAGUUGGUGGGGUAAAGGCCCACCAAGCCAACGAUCUGUAGCUGGUCUGAGAGGACGACCAGCCACACUGGAACUGAGACACGGUCCAGACUCCUACGGGAGGCAGCAGUGGGGAAUCUUGGACAAUGGGCGAAAGCCUGAUCCAGCCAUCCCGCGUGCAGGAUGAAGGCCCUCGGGUUGUAAACUGCUUUUGUACAGAACGAAAAGGUUUCUACUAAUACUAGGAGCUCAUGACGGUACUGUAGAAUAAGCACCGGCUAACUACGUGCCAGCCGCCGCCGUAA
Molecule: ribosomal RNA, 499 nt
Filed under: uncultured bacterium
Lineage: Bacteria
Description: partial 16S ribosomal RNA
Rfam family: Bacterial small subunit ribosomal RNA
Source: RNAcentral